This 561-nucleotide unclassified non-coding RNA is filed under the name Bombus terrestris (buff-tailed bumblebee). Its description in RNAcentral is "misc RNA ENSBTSG00005023736.1". Lineage: Eukaryota; Metazoa; Arthropoda; Insecta; Hymenoptera; Apidae. The record is from RNAcentral.
AGAUGAUCGGAUACCUCGAUAUCACAAGAGAAACCUAAAAUCGCACGAUCGGAACGUGUUGUCCUUUGCCUCGAAAGGAAUUGUCGGAGAAGAUUUCCGCGAAUUUAAACCGUACGCAAGAGUGGAUUUGCAAACGGAGGGGAAAUCCUAGUAUCAAAGAGGAAUCGUAGUCUCCUUCAUCCCACGAAGAUUUCCGCCUCUUUCGUGCUUCUCGCGAUACGUUAUGUCGUGUAACAUCGUGCAGCCACUCCUGUCGUGAGCCGACAAAGUCCCCGAUUUUUGCUGGCCCAGAUCUUAAAGGUGAACCGACGAGAGAGAAACCAGAAGACAGAGGGAGAAGGAGAGGAGAAAGAAAGGAUCGCCGUUCCCGAUCGUACCUUCCACUCUUUCUCGGACGCACCUUCUGCCCCGCACGUACGUCCGUCUCUGUUUAACUCGCGCGAGAUUUUCACGAUUUUCUCCUUUCUCCGUUCCGCCGUUACGGUCCCAUACCACGAAGACACGUGGGAGAGGGAGAGAGUGAGAGGUUACCGUGAAUGAUUCCGCGGAGGCUUGGCUGCC